AAGAAAGCAAUCAAAAGCAAAUUAUGAAAUUGUGGACAGAAUUGCAUUUGUGCAGAAUUUUAAAUGAUCAAUUUUAAAUUUUUAAUAAAUUUUUAAUGAUUUAAUCCCAGUAGUAGAGCAAGCUCACUACGGGACAGGUUUUUAAACAUUAGAAAUUUUAAAUUGUUUGGAAAUUGAAAAUUUAAAAUUAUAAAUUUCGAUGUCUGCAAUUUUGUAAUUUGUGCGAUUCCCUAAGUAGUGGCGAGCGAAAGGGGAGGAGGCUAAACCGUUAGUGUUGCCUGCUUCAGAUGAUUUUUCCUUCGGGAAGAGUUGUCAAAAGUGGGCAGGCUUACAGGCCGUAUGCAUUAGCGGUGUCACGAGAGCGAACGUUGAAAGUCUGUAAACUUUCACAAGAUUUUAACACUUAUAGCCAAACGAGGUGGAACCCUCGGCCCAAGAAGGUGAGAGCCCUGUCGGCGAAAUUUGUUGUUAAGUUUUGGUUCGUUUCUCAAGUACUGCGGGACUCGAGAAAUCCUGUGGGAAUUUGCGGCGACUACGCCGUCAGCCUAAAUACUAGAUGAUGAUCGAUAGUGAACGAGUACCGUGAGGGAAAGGUGAAAAACACCCCGGAAGGGGAAUGAAAAGAUCUGAAACCAUAUACUUACAAGGAGGUGGAACUUGUCCUUCGGACAAGGACUGACAACUAACAACUAACGACCUACAACUUUUACAUUGUAAGUUGUGUGUUGGAUGUUGUUUGUUCUCGUCCGCAGGACGGGCGACACCGUGCCUAUUGAAGAAUGAGCCAACGAGUGUAGGUUUGUUGCUUGUCUAAACGAACGCGGUUCGUGAAGGCGGAGUGAAAGCGAGGCCUAACAGCCUAAGCCGCUGUAUAAAAAUCUCGCGGAGCGGGUCCUUUGAAGCUUUACGCGGAGAAGGAUUUCGGUCCUAGGAUUUUUGUGCAGUUGGCGUGCAGCAAGUUUAUGACCCGAAACCAGGCGAGCUACGCAUGAGCAGGAUGAGUCGACCGUAAAUGGUCGAGGAGGUCCGAACCCACGUGCCGUGCAAAACACGGGGAUGACUUGUGCGUAGAGGAGAAAUUCCAAUCGAGCUUGGUAAUAGCUGGUUCUCCUCGAAAUAGUUUAAGGACUAGCCUCAUCUAAGAUCUCUGGUGGUAGAGCACUGAAUAGUGGCAGGGGUGAAUAACCUACUGUCGCUAACCAAACUCCGAAUGCCAGUCAGAUCGCAACCAGAUGGGAGUCAGAACGUGGGGGCUAAGCUCCACUGUUCAAAAGGGAAACAGCCCUAGACCAUCAACUAAGGCCCCAAAGUAACUGCUAAGUGUUAAAGGAGGUGUUAUUACAUAAACAACCAGGAGGUUGGCUUAGAGGCAGCCAUCCUUUCAAGAAAGCGUAAUAGCUCACUGGUCAAGUGAUAGCGCGCCGAAAAUGGAUCGGGGCUAAGCAGUUCGCCGAAGUUAUGGACUAGUUGAAAUUUCGAUUUCAACUAAGUGGUAGAGGAGCGUUCGCUUCAGCGUUGAAGCUGUGCCGUGAGGCGCGGUGGAGCGGAGCGAAGUGAGAAUGUUGGCAUUAGUAGCGAUAUUGCAGGUGAGAACCCUGCACACCGAAAAUCCAAGGUUUCCUGGGCAACGGCAGUCGACCCAGGGUGAGGCGGGACCUAAGCUGAGGCCGAAAGGCGUAAGCGAUGGAAGAGCCGGUUAAUAUUCCGGCCCUGCCUUGAUGUGAGAUGAGUUGGGGACGCUAAUAAAUUUUUACCGUGUGCUUUUGAAUGCGCACAUGCCGUCUGUCUUACAGACGGCGACAGCCGACUUACAACCAUCAACUAACAACGCAAGUUGUCAGUUGGAAAUUGUUUGUUGUUUGUUGCCAUCUGUUAGACAGAUGGCCAAGACUAAAGCCUUCGGGCCGAGGUCAAGGGUAAAGAAAUAUUAGCCGGGAAAAGCCAGCCACAUCGUUUUUAACAUCAAGGCACUCGUACCGUAAUCCGACACAGGUGGGUGAGGAGAGAAUCCUCAGGUGGACGAGCGAAUUCUCGUUUAGGAACUCGGCAAAAAAGCGGGCGUACCUUCGGUAUAUGCCCUGCCCCGGCCGUCCAAAGGACGGCGACAGCCGACUUACUACCACCAACCAACAACGCAAGUUGUCAGUUGGAAAUUGUUUGUUGUUUGUUGCCACCCUCUGGGCGGCUAGGGCCGCAGCGAAAGAUCUCAAGCGACUGUUUACCAAAAACACAGGUCCCUGCCACAAAGCGCAAGCUGAAGUAUAGGGGCUGAUGCCUGGCCAGUGUCCGAACGUUAAGGGGAGAGGUUCACGCCUUGAUCCGAAGCGCGGAUGAACGCAGGCCGUAACUAUAACGGUCCUAAGGUUCCUAAAUUAUUUGAAAAAAUGAUUUAGGAAAAUUUGGGGCUGUUGUAGCUUCGAUAAUGUAUCGUGCACAAGCUGCCUAGUUUUGCGGUAACGCAAAAUUACUACAUGGCUAUAUGCUGGAAAGUUAAAUCUAAUCAGCAGGGAAGUCUACACUAUGUGAACAACCAACGCUCAACAAACAACCCACAACAUAAUUGUUGAAAGUCGUAAGUUGGUAGUUGGAAGUUGCGUCAGCGUUAGAUCCCUCAGAGACCACACGCCAUGCUCCUAGUCAUGAAUUAAAAUAUGACGAGGAUGAAGAUAUGGUCCUUCGCAUAAGGAAGCGAAAAGCGAAAUUCCUUGACGGGUAAGUUCC
This 2721-nucleotide ribosomal RNA is filed under the name groundwater metagenome. RNAcentral describes it as "bacterial LSU rRNA". It matches the Rfam family "Bacterial large subunit ribosomal RNA", at positions 52 to 1984 of the family's 2925-position model. The record is from RNAcentral.